This 87-nucleotide ribosomal RNA is filed under the name Microbacterium sp. ru370.1. Its description in RNAcentral is "partial 16S rRNA. Bacterial SSU". It matches the Rfam family "Bacterial small subunit ribosomal RNA", at positions 1 to 84 of the family's 1533-position model. The record is from RNAcentral. Lineage: Bacteria; Bacillati; Actinomycetota; Actinomycetes; Micrococcales; Microbacteriaceae.
UUUUUACGGAGAGUUUGAUCCUGGCUCAGGAUGAACGCUGGCGGCGUGCUUAACACAUGCAAGUCGAACGGUGAAGCCAAGCUUGCU